This 457-nucleotide ribosomal RNA is filed under the name uncultured Desulfobulbus sp. RNAcentral's name for it is "bacterial SSU rRNA". It matches the Rfam family "Bacterial small subunit ribosomal RNA", at positions 930 to 1382 of the family's 1533-position model. The record is from RNAcentral. Lineage: Bacteria; Pseudomonadati; Thermodesulfobacteriota; Desulfobulbia; Desulfobulbales; Desulfobulbaceae.
CGGUGGAGUAUGUGGUUUAAUUCGAUGCAACGCGAAGAACCUUACCUGGUCUUGACAUCCCGGAGACCCUUAGGAACUAGGGGUGCUCCCAUCUGGAAGAAUCUGGAGGACAGGUGCUGCAUGGCUGUCGUCAGCUCGUGUCGUGAGAUGUUGGGUUAAGUCCCGCAACGAGCGCAACCCUUGCCUUUAGUUGCCAGCAGUUCGGCUGGGCACUCUAAAGGGACUGCCGGUGUUAAACCGGAGGAAGGUGGGGAUGACGUCAAGUCCUCAUGGCCUUUAUGACCAGGGCUACACACGUACUACAAUGGCCGAUACAAAGGGCAGCGACACUGCGAGGUGAAGCCAAUCCCGUAAAAUCGGUCUCAGUCCGGAUUGGAGUCUGCAACUCGACUCCAUGAAGUUGGAAUCGCUAGUAAUCGUGGAUCAGCAUGCCACGGUGAAUACGUUCCCGGGCCUU